UUUUUUUUGAGGUCGACUGGUCGACUUUGUCUUCAACAGGAUUAGUGGGGGCACGCUGAGUGCACCCACUGGGUGUAGUCCCCGAGACUACGGUCGAAUGCUUGUAUUCGGCUGUAGUCUUAGAAACGUGUGUUUUUCCCUUUUUCACUCGGAAGUGAGUUACAUUUGACGUUUAGUCGAUUGGUUCUUCGCAGAACUCCUGUGAUCUUGUGGCUCGCUACUCAGAGCUGGAACAAAAACAUACUCAAGUCGAGCUGAGCUUGAAGCUGGUUCAGGAGAAGCUGACAAAGGCAAAGGAGGAGACCGAAGGUAUGUUUGGUGAGACCCUGACGACUGCUUUUCCCCUUGCUUGUUUCGGCAUCUGAUCUCGCUGUAACUUGCAGGUAAGGUAAGGGAGGCCCAGCAGAAGAAAGACCUUGAGCUAGCUGAGAAGAUCAAGCUUGCUGACGAGAAGUUAGCUUCAGUCACCAAGCUCGAACAAGACAAUACCAAUCUGAAAACUGCUCUUGGGAUUGCCAACAAGGAAAUCAGUCGACUGAGAACUGACAAAGCUGCCUUGACCGACCAAGUCAGCAAAUUGACUGAGAAGAAAACUGAACUGGAGGCCUUCCUGAGUGGCCUUGCCAAGAAGCUGUUUCUUAUGCUUGAAGGUAAACCUCCAUGUUUGGCAAAUAUUUCCAACUGUGGCUUCUUCCAUUCGACUAUCCCCUUGACUUAGUGAUCACCCUUGCAGAAUUUUGUCAAAACUUUGAAGAGGAAACCAGCCGACUGGAGCCAAACCUUGACCCCGUCAAUUCUCCGGUGAACGACGAAGUUGCCAUGGAUGUUUUCCGACUGGAGUCUCGUGUCGCAGCUGUCGUGGACUAUCUCGCAAGGCUGAAGGCCGCCACAUCUCGCAUCGACUCGACGCUCUGGCCUGAGGAGACACUUCAGAAUGACCUUGAGUCGCUGAUGGCCCGCUUGAACACGAUCCCUGGUCGAGUGCAGGAGUGGAAGAAGUCCUCGGCUCGGUGUGGUGCAGAUGUCGCUCUGUGUCUGGCCUGAGUCCACUGCAAAGAUGCGCGAGAAGAGAAGCUGGCGGCCCUUCGGGUGGCCAAUACCAAGAAGCACGACUUCAGAUCCUUUAUGGAAACUUUCCUUGCAGCUGCCACUCGGAUCGCCGACGGGAUUGACCUUGAUGAAUUUGUUGCACCUUCCAGCCCUCCACAGGAGGGGUAAAAAACUUCUUCUGGCUCGACGCUUUAAAUUUGCCUCGGUAUGCCGAGUGAAAUUGUAACCGACAAACCUUAACAGGCUUGACGCCUGAGCACUUUCGGUUCCUUUAGAUGUCGAUUCAAACUUGGAUUUGGUGCUUGAAUACGAUUGCCUUCGGCUCGGAAUGUCUUUUGCAGGUUCAAAGCAAGGUGCCUGUGCUGCAAUCGACUUAUUCUUUAGUCCACUUAGACGAGCACUGGGCUGCAGCUAAGCCCUCCGAAUGAGAGGGUUGCUCUCCACUUGGCAGGGUUUUUAUACCUUAGGCAAGCGCUUGGACUGCAGCUAAGCCCCCGAGUGAGAGGGUUGCUCUUCACUCGGUAGGAUUUUUGUAACUUAGGCGAGCACAGGGCUGCAGCUAAGCCCCCGAGUGAGAGGGUUGCUCUUCACUCGGUAGGAUUUUCACAACUUAGGCGAGUGCUUGGACUGCAGCUAAGCCCCCGAGUGAGAGGGUUGCUCUUCACUCGGUAGGAUUUUUAUAACUUAGGCGAGCACGAGGCUGCAGCUAAGCCUCCGAGUGGAAGGCUGGCUUACCACUCGGUAGGAUUUUGAUAACUUAGACGAGCACAUGGCUGCAGCUAAGCCCCCGAGUGAGAGGAUUGCUCUUCACUCGGCAGGAUUUUGAUAACUUAGGCGAGCACGAGGCUGCAGCUAAGCCUCCGAGUGAGAGGAUUGCUCUUCACUCGGCAGGAUUUUGAUAACUUAGGCGAGCACAAGGCUGCAGCUAAGCCUCCGAGUGGAAGGCUGGCUUACCACUCGGUAGGAUUUUGAUAACUUAGGCGAAACGGAUUCGCAGCUAAGCCUCCGAGUGGGAGUCUGGCUCACCACUCGGUAGGAUUUUUACAAACUUAGGCGAAACGGAUUCGCAACUAAGUCACCCACUGAGGGGAAUUUUAUUGGAAAAUAAAAAGUGACAGAUAGUGUGGAGGAACUAUGACACUAUUAUUUUGAGGUCCAUGAACUACAAAAGUACUUUAUUGCAACUCAUCCGAGUGAUAAAACUUAAGUGUAAAAUGGGCGGAGUAGCUCCGCGUUCCAAGCUCGGGGCUCGUCGAUAUUAUGCUCGACGUUGUAAAGACGGUACGCCCCGUUGUGGAGAACCUUGGUGACGAUGAAGGGGCCUUCCCAAGAAGGAGCAAGCUUGUGUGGUUUGUGCUGAUCCACUCGGAGAACUAGAUCCCCUUCCUGGAAGGCUCGACCUCUCACAUUUCUGGCGUGGAAACGACGCAGAGCUUGUUGGUAGAUGGUCGAUCGGAUCAGAGCCAUCUCCCUUUCUUCCUCUAAAAGGUCGACUGCGUCCUGCCGCGCUUGUUCAGCUUCUGCUUCGUUGUAGAUUUCAACUCGAGGAGCAUUGUGGAGAAGAUCACUCGGCAAGACUGCUUCAGCUCCAUAGACCAAGAAGAAUGGAGUUCUUCCGGUCGACCGAUUAGGCGUGGUCCGCAGUCCCCAUAGUACAGAUGGAAGUUCGUCGACCCAAGCCCCAGCCGCGUGUUUGAGAUCACGCAUCAGUCGAGGCUUCAGUCCCUUGAGAAUCAGUCCAUUAGCUCGCUCUGCUUGUCCAUUCGACUGCGGAUGGGCGACUGAUGCGUAGUCGACCCGUGUGCCCUGGGAGUUGCAGAAGGUUCUGAAUUCCUCUGAGUCAAAGUUCGACCCAUUAUCCGUAAUGAUGCUGUGCGGGACUCCAUAUCUGAAUAUUAGUUCCCUGAUGAAGCUAACAGCAGUACCGGUGUCGAGGCUCUUGAUUGGUUUAGCCUCGAUCCACUUGGUGAAUUUGUCGACUGCCACCAGUACAUGCGUGAAGCCACUUCGUCCUGUUCUCAAAGGGCCGACCAUGUCCAGCCCCCAAACUGCAAAAGGCCAGACGAGUGGGAUGGUCUUCAAAGCUGACGCAGGCUUGUGCGACAUAUUCGAGUAGAACUGACAUCCCUCGCACUUAUCUAUUAUCUCUUUUGCCAUCUCAUUCGCCUUGGGCCAGUAAAAUCCGGCUCGGUAUGCUUUGGCCACGAUGGUCCGAGAGGACGCAUGAUGACCACAGGUUCCCGAGUGAAUAUCAUUGAGGAUGAGUCGACCUUCUUCUGGUGUUAUGCACUUCUGACCGACUCCAGUCGCGCUUUCUCUGUAUAAUUGUCCUUUGAUUACGGUAAAGGCCUUAGAUCGACGGACGAUCUGUCGAGCCUCUUCCUCAUCCUCCGGAAGCUCUUUCCUCAAGAUAUAUGCGACAUACGGAAUCGUCCAGUCGGGAAUGACCACCAAAACCUCCAUGAUCAAGUCGACCACCGCUGGGACUUCAACUUCAGUCGGAUCUGUGGCGCUCUUGGGCUGCGGAGUUUCUUCGGUGAAAGGAUCUUCUUUGACUGACGGAGUGUGUAUAUGCUCCAAGAACACACCACUCGGAAUGGCUUCUCUCUUGGAACCUAUCUUUGCUAGAUCAUCAGCUGCUUGAUUUUUCAGUCGGGGUAUAUGAUGGAGAUCCAACCCCUCGAACUUCUUUUCCAGCUUCCUCACUGCACUGCAGUAUCCAGUCAUGGCUGGGCUUCUCACGUCCCACUCUUUCAUCACCUGAUUGACCACUAAAUCCGAGUCGCCAUAGACCAUUAGGCGACGGACACCGAGUGAAAUGGCCAUGCGCAACCCAUAUAGGAGGGCCUCAUAUUCUGCCUCAUUGUUGGAGGAAUCAAAGUGAAUCUGGAGCACAUAUCUGAGCUUAUCUCCUCUGGGGGAAACCAGGACAACCCCAGCACCGGAACCAUUCAACAUCUUAGAGCCAUCGAAAAACAUGGUCCAAUGCUCCGAGUGAACUUCAGUCGGCUGCUGUUGUUCAAUCCACUCGGCGAGGAAAUAUGCUAUCGCCUGGGACUUAAUGGCUUUCUUUGCCUCAAACUUGAUAUCAAGGGGAAGAAGUUCAAUCGCCCAUUUGGCCACUCGACCAGUUGCAUCUCUGUUGUGCAAAAUCUCUGAUAGUGGAGCGUCGCUGACGACUGUGAUGGAAUGGUCAGAGAAAUAAUGAGCAACCUUCUUUGUGGUCAUGUAUAUUCCAUACACAAGCUUCUGAUAAUGAGGAUAUCUCUGCUUGGAUGGAGUCAAGACUUCAGACAAAUAAUACACUGGGCGCUGAACUUUGAGAGCUUUUCCUUCUUCUUCCCGCUCGACCGUUAGCACAGUACUGACGACUUGUCCUGUGGCUGCGAUGUAGAGCAACAGAGGCUCUUUGCUGAUUGGAGCAGCAAGCACCGGCUGGGUGGAGAGCAGAGCUUUUAGCUCGGCAAACGCUGCAUCAGCUUCUGGAGUCCACUCGAACUUGUCAGCCUUCUUCAUCAGUCGGUAAAGAGGCAGUGCCUUUUCACCGAGUCGUGAGAUGAAUCAACUUAAUGCGGCCAAGCAUCCAGUAAGCUUCUGGACAUCGUGCACUCGCACAGGGCGUUUCAUUCGGAGGAUAGUGCCAAUCUUCUCUGGGUUAGCGUCGAUUCCCCGUUCGGAAACGAGAAAACCGAGUAACUUGCCACCAGGAACUCCAAAUGUGCACUUUGAUGGAUUGAGCUUGAUAUCAUACCUUCUGAGGUUGGCAAAUGUUUCGGCGAGGUCAGCGAGCAGGUCGGAACCUUUUCGUGACUUGACAACAAUAUCAUCCAUAUAAGCUUCCACAUUCCGACUGAUUUGGGUGAGUAGACACUUCUGAAUCAUUCGCAUAAAAGUGGCUCCGGCAUUCUUGAGGCCGAAUGGCAUGGUGAUAUAGCAGAAGCACCCGAAUGGAGUGAUGAAAGUUGUUUUUACCUCAUCGGGCCCGUACAGACGGAUCUGGUGGUACCCGGAGUAAGCAUCUAAAAAAGACAACCUCUCGCAUCCCGCGGUCGAGUCAACAAUUUGAUCUAUGCGAGGGAGAGGAAAGUGAUCUUUCGGGCAGGCCCGGUUGAUGUGCUUGAAAUCAAUGCACAUUCGGAGCGACUUGUCCUUCUUAGGAACCAUGACGACAUUAGCGAGCCACUCGGAGUGGUAUAUCUCUCGGAUAAAUCCUGCCGCCAACAGUCGAGCCACUUCUUCACCGAUGGCCUUUCUCUUCUGGACGGCGGACCGCCGAAGAUGCUCUUUGACUGGUUUUGCAGACGAGUCGACUCUUAGGCGAUGCUCAGCCAGUCCCCUGGGAACACCUGGCAUGUCAGCGGGCUUCCAUGCAAAAAUGUCCCAGUUCUCACGGAGGAACUGGAUGAGCGCUUCUUCCUAUUUUGGGUCGAGUGUUGUGGAAAUGCGGGUCGGAGCUGCUUCGGGGUCGGUCGGGUGAAUGUGAACAGGCUUCGUCUCACCGGACGACUGGAAUGCAGACUCUGUGGCGGGCUUCUUGGAUCGCAGCAAGUCACUCGGAUCUGCGUUUUGCUUGUAUUCUUCGAACUCGACCGCUGUCACUUGGGAAUCGGCAAUCUUGGAGCCCUUCUGAAAGCACUCCUCUGCCUUUUUCCUAUCACCGGUGACAGUGAUCACACCUUUGGGACCGGGCAUCUUCAAUUUGAGGUACACGUAACAUGGUCGAGCCAUGAACCGUGCAUAGGCUGGUCUCCCCAAAAUGGCAUGAUAUGCACUUUGAAAAUCCACGACCUCAAACGUCAACUUUUCUUUGCGAAAAUGCUUCGAAUCACCAAACACUACGUCCAAAGCUAUCUGGCCAAGUGACUCGGCCUUCUUCCCUGGUAUAACUCCAUGGAAGCUCAUGUUACUAGUGCUCAGUCGGGACAUCGGAAUGCCCAUACCUUUCAAUGUGUCUGCAUACAAUAAGUUCAGCCCACUUCCACCAUCCAUCAGCACCUUUGUCAGUCGAGUGCCUUCGACAACUGGAUCGACCACCAAAGCUUGCCUCCCGGGGGUGGCAAUAUGAGUCGGGUGAUCAGAUUGGUCGAAUGUGAUGGGUGUUUGAGACCACUUCAGAUAAUUUGCCUUUGCUGGGGCAACCAUGUUCACCUCUCGGUUAAUCACUUUCAGUCGACUUCUGCUUUCCACAUCUGCAAAGAUCAUCAGAGUGGAGUUGAUAUGCGGAUAUCCUCCCUCACUAUCCUCUUUGUCUUCGGCCUUGUCCGACUCCUUCUCCUUGUCCUUAGACUGUUUUUCCUGAAACUGCUGGAUCAGGAGUCGACAUUGGCGAGUGGUGUGCUUUGGGUAAAUGAUAUUCCCCUCUUCGUCUUUCUUCGUGUGAAUGUGACAUGGCAUAUCCAACACGUCGUUCCCUUCUUUAUCCUUUAACUUCUUGGGGUUCCAGGAUCCUUUUGGUUUCCCCUUAAACUUUCCUUGAGUCACGGCCAGAGCCUCUCCAGGAGCUGCCGGUUCAGCCUUCCGCUUCUGUUUCCGACUGGUGUUUCCUUUUUCCGACUGACUCGGCUUGUGCUUGCCGCUUCGGAGUCGGUCUUCUUCUUCGCCGUUGGCGUACUUGGUAGCAAUCUCCAUCAUCCGACUCAAGGUCAUGUCACCGGUUCGACCAAAUUUCAAACUCAGUUCUCUGUUCUUGACGCCGUCUUUGAAGGCGCAUACUGCCUGAUGAUCAGAGACAUUUUCCACAGUGUGGUGCAAAGUGAUCCACCUCUGAAUAUACUCUCUGAGAGUCUCAUUAGUUUUCUGCACGCAGACUUGCAACUCUGUCAAUCCCGCUGGUCGCUUGCAAGUCCCUUCAAACGUUCUGACGAACACUCGGGACAGAUCUUCCCAAGUGUAAAUGCUGUUAGGAGGUAAUUGAGUCAACCAUGCCCUGGCAGAACCUUCCAACAUGAGGGGCAAAUGCUUCAUGGCCACCUCGUCGUUCCCACCACCGAUCUGAACUGCCACUCGGUAGUCUUCAAGCCAAGUUUCAGGCUUAGACUCACCAGUGAACUUGCUGACUCCUGUUGCCAACCUGAAAUUGGGGGGGAUAACUGCGGCUCUGAUAGCUCUGCUGAAACAUUCAGGACCAGAAACAUGUACUCGACUGCUCGUGGGUACAUCUCUGUCGAGUGCGCCUCGAUGGGCUCUGUUCCGGUCGACCAACCCUUGCACGAUAAUGGAUCGCGCGUCGAAGCCUGGCUCUCUGGGGUCAACUGGAACCCUACGCCCUGUACUGUACUGACGCCUAUCAUCUGGCUGCCGAGGAGCGUAAGACCCACCCCUCGGAGGGGAAUAGGGCACUCGACGCCUAUCAUCUCGGUCGAGUCUGUCGCCAUACUGAUCUCGCCGAUUCUCACGCCCUUCGCGCCACGGAGGCGAUCUGGGGCUGUGAGCCGACUGAACCGUAUUCACAGUGACAGAUCGACUGUGAAUUCUGUUGCGCGACUGAGACACGGCUGAAUUCUGAUCUCCUGCUGCCCGGAGCAGAUCCCUGAUCUGCAGCAAACCUCUGCCAGCUUCCGACUGCGAAGGCUGAAUGGACUCUGCUAUACGGGUCGCAGCUGCUAAAUUCUGAAUUGGGGUUCGAUAUACCCGAGUCGGCGGGAAGAGUUGGCGUCGACUGGUGUCGGGAACUCGUUGCCGCGCGCGCUCGUCGAGUGCUCGCUGAAGGUUCUCCAGUCGAGUGCGCUCGGCCAAAUUGGCCAGACGCGCCUCCUCCAAGGCACGAGCCUCGGGGGUUUCUCCUGCGAUGGGAAUACGCAGGGGAUCCUCGUUCCUGCGGCGAAGCUCUUCUCUUUGUAGAGAGUCGAGUGGCUCGGACUGGUACUCUUCGUAGUCUCGUGCAGGGUCGCCGCCGUCACCUGCUCCACCACCUCGGGCGAAGCCAGGAGGGCUGUGGGGCCCGUCGACCAUCAAGAUUUCCGCCGCUGGAUCACUGCUUCCGCACUCGGAUGCGGUCUCUCCGGAGCCAGUCGACUGAUCGAACAAGCCGUAGAGAGAUUCGUUGGGCUCGAUUGCCGCAACUUGUGUAGUGGCCGAUUGGCGAGCCACCGCGUGACUCACCCAUCGCUGAAGCCUCGACCGGCCUGAGCGCUUGCGCUGGCGGGAGACCGGGAGGGUGGACGAUGGAGGAGCCGACCGAUACUGGGUCGACGGUUGCCGCAGCAGAACGCCGCGGACGCAUGCGCGAAAAUGCGUCGCACCGCGGACGGGGAGCGCGUCUACGUCGAGUGGAGCCUCCUGGAGCCAUGCGGAGUCGUCGGCGAUGAAGGUGAAAGAGCCGAGACGGAUCUCUUGACCCUUGACCAAAACUCCAGCAGACACCAUGAUGAGAGUACUCGGAAGAAUCGCAACUUCUCCACAAAAUCGCUAAAACACCUGCCCCACGGUGGGCGCCAACUGUCGUGGUUCUAAGCCUGACAGUAGAGUGGGGGGUAGGUAUGGAGAGGCAAGGUCCUAGCUAUGGAGAGGUUGUAAGCACAAAGGAUGUACGAGUUCAGGCCCUUCUCGGAAGAAGUAACAGCCCUACGCCUCGGAGCCCGGAGGCGGUCGAGUGGAUUAUGAGUGUAUGAAUUACAAGGUGCCGAACCCUUCUGCCUGUGGAGGGGGGUGGCUUAUAUAGAGUGCGCCAGGACCCCAGCCAGCCCACGUAGGAGAGGGUUUAAGGUGAGUUAAGUCUGGGGCGUUACUGGUAACGCCCCACAUAAAGUGCCUUUACUAUCAUAAAGACUACUUGAUUACAGGCCGUUGCAGUGCAGAGUGCCUCUUGACCUCCUGGUGGUCGAGUGAGUCUUCGUGGUCGAGUCCUUCAGGCUAGUCGAGUGAAUCUUCGUUGGUCGACUGGAAGGCGACCUCUUCUAAGGAUGUCCUGGGGUAAGUUACUUGGAUCAGGUCCAUGACCCUACCCUAGGUACAUAACCCCAUCAGUAGCACCUCCCAAAACUAGCCCGGCGGAGCCCAGUCCCGGACAUGGCCCCUCUAAUCAAGCCGGCCUUCUCCGCCGAGUCGACGACGAGGAUGCGGGAUAGGCAUCAUCGACGUUAAUGGAGGAAUAAUUGCUUUAACUAAAAAAAUAAACUAGUUCUAUUAAUUUUCUUGUUAAAAAUAAACUACUUCUAUAGUAAAAUAAACUAGUUUUAUUGAAUCAAGUAGUUCAACUACUAAGCACUUAUUAUAAAUUGAAUAAAGUAGUACUUACUAAAAAUAAACUACUUCUAUAUAUAGUAAAAUAAAGUAGUUUUAUUAAACCAACUAGUUUAACUACUAAUUAAUUAAGCACUUACUAUAAAUAAAGUAGUUUUAUUAAAUCAACUAGUUCAACUACUAAUUAAGCAUUUACUAUAAAUAAACUAGUUUAACUAGUUCAACUACUAAUUAAUCACCUCCGCGGUGUCCGGAAAAAGAAAAAAAAGAGGAGAAGAAGAAAAGAUUAAUAGAGGAGAAGAUCGAAGAAAAAAAGAAGAAGAAAAAUAGGAGAAGAAGAAAGGAAUAGAGGAGAAGAAGAAAAAAUAGAAAACUUACUAUUUUUUCUUCUUCUCCUCCUUUUUCCACUUCUUCCUCUCCUCUUAUUCUCCUUCUUCUUCUCCUUCUUCCUCUCCUGCUUCUUUUUUUUCUUCUUCUUCUUCCUUCUUUCCUUCUUCAUCUUUUCUUCCUUUUCCUUAUUUUACUUUUUCCUCUACACUAACCUAAAAUGCACUAAACUAAAAUCGAUAUCUACUAACAAUCUAAAUAAAAAAUUAAUACAUAUAUGAAAAAAUGGGGGCUCACAUCGGGGGCGGCCGGCGAGGGCGACGCGGAGGGCGACAACGGCGGCGGCGGGGGGCGGAGGNNNNNNNNNNNNNNNNNNNNNNNNNNNNNNNNNNNNNNNNNNNNNNNNNNNNNNNNNNNNNNNNNNNNNNNNNNNNNNNNNNNNNNNNNNNNNNNNNNNNNNNNNNNNNNNNNNNNNNNNNNNNNNNNNNNNNNNNNNNNNNNNNNNNNNNNNNNNNNNNNNNNNNNNNNNNNNNNNNNNNNNNNNNNNNNNNNNNNNNNNNNNNNNNNNNNNNNNNNNNNNNNNNNNNNNNNNNNNNNNNNNNNNNNNNNNNNNNNNNNNNNNNNNNNNNNNNNNNNNNNNNNNNNNNNNNNNNNNNNNNNNNNNNNNNNNNNNNAGGGCGACGACGACGGCGACGGGGGCGGCUCGGGGCGGCGGAGGGCGACGACGACGGGGGUGCGGCUCUGGGGCGGCGGAGGGCGGGGGGCAACUGACGAUGAAAUUGUGAAAUUUUCACAAGUCCAGCUUAUAUACCCAGAGCAUUGGUUCCGGUUCGUCGCAACAACCGGGACCAAUGCCCCUUUUAGUACCGGUUGGUGCCACGAACCGGGACCAAAGGCCAGUUUUCGGCAGCCCAAAGGGCGGGAAACGACGGCCUUUGGUUCCGGUUGGUGGCACCAACCGGUACCAAAGGGGGGUAUUCGUACCGGUUGGUGCCACAAACCAGUUCCAAUGCCCCCCUUUAGUCUCGAUUGGUGGCACCAACCGGGACCAAAGGCCUCGUGCUGCCCAUGCCUAAAUGUUUAGUCCCACCUCGCUAGCUGAGAGGGGCGCAGUGGUUUAUAAGCCCCACUGCCGCACCCCUCUCGAGCUCCUCUCCAUUGCAGGCUUUCGGGCCUAAUUGUCACUGGUAUGCCUGAUGGGCCUACUAGGCCUUCUGCGGGCCUGAAUCAUGGCCCAUGGAUGGGUUUCUAGUCGUAUUCAGGCCGUGGAGGCCCAGUAGGUGGCACAUUUUUUAUUUUUUCCCUUUUUUGUUUUCCUUUUGCUUUAUUUAUUUUGUUUUGUUUCUACUUACAACAAAAAACUUAUUUAUUUUAUUUUAUUUUGUUUCUAAUUACUUACUUAUAUUACUUUAUGAUAAUUCUUUUUGCUAUUAAGUUUCUAACAAAAAAAGUUCUUUAUGAAAAUUCUUUUUGCUUUUAAUGAUUUUGAACAGAAAAUACUUUGAUAAUUUUAGUUGCAUCAAUUUUAUAUGUAAUUUUAGUUUCAAAAAUACUAGAGGUUGCUUAUAAUGUUUUGAACAGAAAAUACUUUGAUAAUUUUAGUUUCGUAAAUUUAUUUAUGUUAUUAAAGUUUAUUUUAUUUUACAUUAUUUUGUUUCUACUUAUAUAUUUUAUUAAAGUUUAUAUUAUUUGUUUCUAAUUACUUAUUUAAUUUAUUUUAUGAUAAUUGUUUUUGCUAUUAAAGUUUGUAACAAAAAAGUUCUUUAUGAAAAUUCUGUGAACUCCUGACUUUUUGUGUGUUCAAAAUGCACCAUUCAAAGCCACAUCAUCAAUUUUCAACCCUUUCUGACUUCAUUUGUUAUUUUUCAUGCAUUUACUGGUUAUUUUGAGCUAUAAGACCCUGAAAUUGAAAAGCAUUUCAAAUGAACUAUGAAAAGGUUAAAAGUUGGCAUGGUAUCAUCAUUUCAUCCACAUAGCAUGUGCAAGAAAGUUGAGAGGGUUACGGCAAAAACUGGAUGCACUUCGUGUACAAAACGGACAAUCUCUUUCGAAGUAUCAGGAUUUCAUACGGAAACUUGUUUGUUACAACAUGCAUUUCAAAUGAACUAUGAAAAGGUUGAAAGUUGGCAUGGUAUCAUCAUAAUAGUUGUGGAGAGAAAGUCUUCACUUUUUCUUCGCUUGUGUCGUUUACUUAUUGCGCCGUAACCAUGGAUAAUCUUCAUCGUUUAUUAGGAUGCUUGGGUCAGCCUUGACAUUGAAGGGAGGAAUUUCAUGAAAAUUUUCAUAAUCUUCGGACAUGUCUAUCGUGCCCUUCAGUCCCACGAUGUCCCUCUUUCCUGAAAAAACUAUGUGGCACUUUGGCUCAUCGUAUGAUGUAUUCGCUUCCUUAUCUUUUUUUCUCGGUUUGGUAGAUAUGUCCUUCACAUAGAUAACCUGUGUCACAUCAUUGGCUAGGACGAGCGGUUCGUCAGUGUACCCAAGAUUGUUCAGAUCCACUGUUUUCAUUCCGUACUGUGGGUCUACCUGUACCCCACCUCCUGACAGAUUGACCCAUUUGCACUUAAACAAAGGGACCUUAAAAUCAUGUCCGUAGUCAAGUUCCCAUAUGUCCACUGUGUAACCAUAAUAUGUGUCAUUUCCCCUCUCGGUUGCUGCAUCAAAGAGGACACCACUGUUUUGGUUGGUACUCUUUUGAUCUUGCGCGAUCAUGUAAAAUAUAUUCCCAUUUAUCUCGUAUCCUUUGUAAGUCAAUAUAGUCGAAGAUGGUUCCCUCGACAACGAGUACAACUCAUCACAAACAGUGUUGUCACCUCUGAGACGUGUUUCCAACCAACUGCUGAAAGUACUGAUGUGUUCACAUGUAAUCCAGUCGUCGCACUACUCCGGGUGUUUGGAGCGCACACUGUUCUUGUGUUCCCCUCCAAGCGUUUUGUAGAACUAGGACGUGUAGUGUGCUUGAGACCAAGAAUGCCCGUCCCUGCAUAUUAUUGAGUCCCCUCCAAGCGUGCCUUUUCCAGUCAGUCUCCCCUCAUACCGCGAUUUAGGGAGACCUAUCUUCUUAAGGCCAGGAAUGAAGUCAACACAAAACCCAAUGACAUCCUCUGUUUGAUGGCCCAUGGAGAGGCUUCCUUCUGGCCUAGCGCAGUUACGGACAUAUUUCUUUAGGACUCCCAUGAACCUCUCAAAUGGGGUACAUAUUGUGUAGAAAUACGAGGCCCAGAAUGACAAUCUCGUCAACUAGAUGAACUAGGACGUGCGUCAUGAUAUUGAAGAAGGAUGGUGGGAACACCAACUCGAAACUGACAAGACACCGCGCCACAUCACUCCUUAGCCUUGGUAUGAUUUCUGGAUCGAUCACCUUCUAAGAGAUUGCAUUGAGGAAUGCACAUAGCUUCAUAAUGGCUAAUCGGAAGUUUUCCGGUAGAAGCCCCCUCAAUGCAACCGAAAGCAGUUGCGUCAUAAUCACGUGAAAGUUGUAACAUCCCAAAUUAUCAUUUUGGAAUGUUAUACACUAGAUCAUCAUUGCAUAUCAAAUUUUAUUGUAUUUUUGUCGAUCCUAUAAGAUUCUACGCAACUCAAGGACCCUCGGAGAGAGUUGGGGAUUUCGUUAUUUUCAUAUUUUAGUUUCUCAAAUUUUGAAAAUAGGAUCAAUUGAUUUUAUUUAUUUUAUCUUCAAUUAUUUGUAUUAUCAAAAUAUGAGAGAGGUAAUAAAAUGACUUUCCCAAAAAUAAAGAAAUAUUGAGGAUUUAAUAAAAAAAUCAAAUAAGAUUUUAUUUUGGUUUUAUUUGCUAUUUUAUUUGAAUUUAGGAAAAAUGCGCGUUUCUCAAAAUUGCAUUUAGGCCCCAAAUAAAUGUUCAUCCUGUGCGGCUUGAUUUUAGAAGCCGGAGAAAAUUUAUUUCAGAAUUUAUGGAGUCCGUUUAGUAUUCCUUUUAUUUUUUUCUGAGCGUAACUAUUUAAAAAAACGUGCAACCGACUUACCGGACCGUGUCCGACCUGGACACCCGGCCCGGUCGGCUUUAAAUAGCCGGGAGGCCCAGCCGCCACCCCCACUGAAACCCUAGCCGCCCCUAGCCCUCCGCCACUGCCUGCCGCCGCCGCCGGAGGUAGAUCUCGCCGCCGGUUUUUUUAAAAACCGAUCGGUUUUCUGUCGGUUCGUUCGGUUUUUUUAGUUCAUUUUUUAAAUAGAUCAGUUUUUCCAGUUUAUUUAUUUAGCGAGCGUUCGCCCGUUCGUUCGUUUUAACGAACGCGUUCUUCGUUUAGAUCCAGUUAACGAACGUUCGUUCGUUAACCUGUUCGUCGUUUUCUUUUUCUCGGAUUAAAUCCGCGAUUUUUCUGAUCGCGAUUUCUGAUCCGAUUUUUGUUUUAGUUUAACUUUUCGCUCGGUUGUCGGAAUCAGGCGAUUCAAGCGCCUGGAGUUUCGUCUCGAAACUCUCUUUCCGUUUAACCAACUCAAACAAGUUUUUGCCACUGUAAAAAAUUGCCUUAGAUCCAGAAUAGUAAAUGAAGCUUGUUUUUUGCCGUUUGUCUUUCGUUGCUUCGUUCGAUUUGAUUCUUUUUGCCAACCGGAGUUCUUAAGUUGAACUUUCUGGUUAGAUCUCUUAUUUGAUUUUUACCUGUACAUUAGAUGAGUACUUAUUGUAUGCUUGUUUGUUUGCGAUAGAGUACCCGGAGUGCGCCGCUUGCUACUUCGAAUCGCUAGGUUUUGUGGAUCAUCAGCAAGGCAAGUAACACUUUGAUCAUACCUCCUACUACCCAGUUUUUAUUACAUUAGAUCAAUCCUCACACAUUACAUGAUUAGGACCUAAUUAAAUUGUGGGUUUGGGGAGUAGUUGAGGUAGAACCUAUUACCUGUUUAUUAUCAAACCUUUGGAAGUUACUUCUACGUUGCUUAUUAUGCUAUGCUAUGCUAGUAGACGUGGAUUGGGUGAGUGUAUCCAUGACAGAUGUGAGAUUAUUAAAUUAAUGGUUUAUCUAAGGUGGCAACUUAAAUACACAUCUGGGUGGAUUGAGGCACCUGGGUAUUCCAGCGGUUGCCUGUUUUCUUUUGGACCGCCAUCCAGGCUCAAAGGGAUCAUGAGAUUAUUCAUGAUAGAAACUUCCGUGUGUAGCCACAAGCUACUAUGGGCUCUAGCAUAGUUGACUAAGUCGUGCAAACACUUACAGUGGUAGACUAGCAGAUGUAGGGGAUGUAGGUGGUACGGUCUACCCAUCGUAAGGUACUAGCGCUUCUGAAAGACUAUGUCUCGGUCAUCCAUUUCUCAAACACCAUGCAGUGCAAGAAAUCCAAUGGAGGAGAUCGAGUCUUGUGGGGAAAAGUGCGCAAAUCUCUGUAGAGUGUAUAAACUAAUCAUGGUUAGCCGUGUCCCCGGUUAUGGACAUCUUGAGUAUCUAGUACCUGGAUUAUCAUGUGAAUCUCAUCAUGUUACUUUAAAAUUAAUUUGUCGGGUUUUGUUUAAUAAUGAUGCUUAAUUGGGAUUGAGAAUGCUGUUAACCAUUCUCAAUGUUUAACAACUAUAAAUAAAAUUUAUUCCUUUGAAGUAGGGAAAAAUUGGCUUUACGGAAAACUGUAACCAUAGAGAUUUCCACCAGCCAAAUAUGUAUGUAGUAUAUCCUUAUUCUUCCAUUACUCUCUAUGUGUUACAUUACCAGCAUAUUCCAUGUGCUGACCCGUUUCGGGUUGCAACGUUAAUGUUGUAGACUUCUCAGACGACGAUUAAGGUGCCUUUAGGUCGUGGUUCUAUACUCAGUGAUACCGCUGGAGUUGAUGGACUCACUUAUCUUCCAAGCCUUCCGCUGUUAUCGUUAUUAGAUGGCCUUAAGCCAUACUUAUUGUAAUAAGUUCUCUUUUCAGACACUCGAUGUAAUAAGUGUGUGAUUGCUACUCUGUUAUAAAUCCUUCAAGUACUGUGUGGUGUCAGCAUUACUGAUCCAGGGAUGACACCUGAGCACAGAGAUUGGAUUGUUUGAGGUCUAGUCGCUACAAAAGUCAUGAGACUUUAGGUUCUUGAACCUUUUCUCUGGCAUAUUUAUUAUUUCCUUUAUAUUCGACGAGAAGCCGGUCGGGACCUUCAUACUAAGCAGGCAUUCAAAGAUUUCCUUCUCUUCUUUGGUAAGAGCAUAGCUGGCAGGAUCUUCAUACUGCUUUGGAGACAUGCCGUCUUUUUCGUGCAAACGUUGCAGGUCCUCCCGUGCCUCAGCUGUAUCUUUUGUCUUUCCAUACACGCCCAAGAAGCCUAGCAGGUUCACGCAAAGGUUCUUCGUCACGUGCAUCACAUCGAUCGAAGAGCGGACCUCUAGGUCUUUCCAGUAGGGUAGGUCCCAAAAUAUAGAUUUCUUCUUCCACAUGGGUGCGCGUCCCUCAGCGUCAUUCAGAACAGCUAGUCCGUCGGGACCCUUUCCAAAGAUUACGUGUAAAUCAUUGACCAUAGCAAGUACGUGAUCACCGGUACGCAUGGCGGGCUUCUUCCGGUGAUCUGCCUCGCCUUUGAAAUGCUUGCCUUUGUUUAGACAUUGAUGGUUGGUCGGAAGAAAUCGACGAUGGCCCAGGUACACAUUAUUCCUGCAUUUGUUCAGGUAUAUACUUUCGGUGUCAGUUAAACAGUGUGUGCAUGCGUGGUAUCCCUUGUUUGUCUGUCCUGAAAGGUUACUGAGAGUGGGCCAAUCAUUGAUGGUUACAAACAACAACGCGUGCAGGUUAAAUUCCCGCUGUUUGUGCUCAUCCCACGCACGUGCAUUGUUUCCAUUCCAUAGCUGUAAAAGUUCUUCAACUAAUGGCCUUAGGUACACAUCAAUGUCGUUGCCGGGUUGCUUAGGGCCUUGGAUGAGAACUGGCAUCAUAAUGAACUUCCGCUUCAUGCAUAUCCAAGGAGGAAGGUUAUACAUACAUAGAGUCACGGGCCAGGUGAUGUAAUUGCUGCUCUUUUCCCCGAAAGGAUUAAUGCCAUCCGUGCUUAAAGCAAACCAUACGUUCCUUGGGUCACCUGCAAACUCAACCCAGUACUUUCUCUCGAUUUUUUUCGCUGUGACCCGUCAGUGGGUGCUCUUAACUUCCCGUCUUUCUUACGGUCCUCACUGUGCCAUCGCAUCAACUUGGCAUGCUCUUUGUUUCUGAACAGUCGUUUCAACCGUGGUAUUAUAGGAGCAUACCACAUCACCUUCGCAGGAACCCUCUUCCUGCGGGGCUCGCCGUCAACAUCACCAGGGUCAUCUCGUCUGAUCUUAUACCGCAAUGCACCACAUACCGGGCAUGCGUUCAAAUCCUUGUACGCACCGCGGUAGAGGAUGCAGUCAUUAGGGCAUGCAUGUAUCUUCUGCACCUCCAAUCCUAGAGGGCAUACGACCUUCUUUGCUGCGUACGUACUGUCGGGCAAUUCGUUAUUCUUUGGAAGUUUCUUCUUCAAUAUUUUCAGUAGCUUCUCAAAUCCUUUGUCAGGCACAACAUUCUCUGCCUUCCACUGCAGCAAUUCCAGUACGGUACCGAGCUUUGUGUUGCCAUCUUCGUAAUUGGGGUACAACCCUUUUUUGUGAUCCUCUAACAUGCGAUCGAACUUCAGCUUCUCCUUUUGACUUUCGCAUUGCGUCCUUGCAUCGACAAUGACCCGAUGGAGAUCAUCAUCAUCGGGCACAUCGUCUGGUUCCUCUUAAUCUUCAGCAGCUUCCCCCAUUGCAGCAUCAUCGGGCACAUCGUCUGGUUCCUCUUGAUCUUCAGCAGCUCCCCCCGUUGCAGCAUCACCGUAUUUAGGGGGCACAUAGUUGUCAUCGUCCUCUUUUUCUUCGCCGUCUUCCAUCAUAACCCCUAUUUCUCCAUGCCUUUCCAAACAUUAUAGUGUGGCAUGAAACCGUUGUAAAGCAGGUGGGUGUGCAGGAUUUUCCGGUUAGAGUAAGACAUCGUAUUCCCACAUUUAGGGCAUGGACAAUACAUAAAACCAUUCUUCUUGUUUGCCUCAGCCACUUCGAGAAAUUCAUGCACGCCCUUAAUGUACUCGGAGGUGUGUCUGUCACCGUACAUCCAUUGUCGGUUCAUCUGCGUGCAUUAUAUAUAAUUAUAUGUGUAAAAAGUAAGAAAAUCAGACAAGUAUCUAUCUAAAGUAAGAAUUUUUUUUCUUUCAGAAAAAAGAUAAGAACAAGAGGCUCACCAUGGUGGUGCCGGCGACGAGAUCGGCGCGGGUGAUCGACGGUGAUGAAGACGAGGACGGGGCGACGGACCGCUAAACCUAGACAAAUCUCGAGAAAAAAUGAGCUCGGAGGUCGAGCUUCGAGAGAACAAAACUUAACUAGCGUGGCCCGGGCAUUUCAUCGAACACCUCAUGUGCAUAGGAGGUGAGCUAGAGCACCCAAAUGCCCUCCCCUCGCCGGCCAAAAAAUAGAGCAGUGUGGACUGCUCUGCUCGCCGGCGAGGGGGUAUAUAUAUUUGUCCCGGUUUUUGACAAGAACCGGGACUAAAGGCCCCCCUUUGUAUUGGUUCUAGGCACGAAUCGGGACCAAUGACUGUGGGCCAGGAGCGAGGCUCGUUGGUCCCGAUUCGUGCCUAGAACCGAGAUAAAUGGGUCCACAUAAACUGGGACAAAUGCCUCCCGAGGCCCGGCUAGGCCCCUGGGCACAUGAACCGGGGCGUAUGCCCCCAUGGGUCCCGGUUCGUGACUGAACCGAGACUAAUGGGCUUGCCAGGCUCGAACCAAAAUCCUGUUUUCUACUAGUGUUGGCUAGUUGUUUCCUGCGGUUAGUUUAAUGAAUUCCUCUUUAAGCUCUUGAAACAUAUUACGCUAGAAUAAUCACGGUCUGAAUUUUGAUGAUAAGUAUGUUGCUUUGCGCUCUACAACCGGUAACUGUGGCUGCUCCAUCAUUCGUAUUUUGGAGGUGGAGCGUUAUCAUUUUGACCACUCAUACAUAAAUAAGUUAUGCCCGCAUCAUUUUCACAAGUUUGCCGUCGUUCCAUCGGUCGGUAGCUCGGGAGGUUUAGUAAUAAUUUUGAAUAGAGUUUUUUUUCUGCUAUGGUUAAUGAUUCAUCAGUGGGCUCAAGUUCUAAAAUUUAGAACUUCUCUGUCUUCUGAACAGUGGAUGAUAGUAAAUAUUUAUGGCCGAUGUGAUGGUGCAGUGAGAGAUGAUUCUUUUAGUUGGUUAUAUGGGCUUGAUAUUGCAGUAGAUGGAAAAUGGUUGCUAUUAGGUGAUUACAAUUUCAUUCGACCGCCAUAGAAUAGGAAUCAUGCGUCAGGUAAUAUUAACGAUACGAUCACUUUUAAUGACAUUAUCGAGGCUCAAUGUUUGGUCGAAUUGUCGUUAUCUAAUGUGACACAUACUAAAUAAAGAAAGGUUCUUAUAUUCGAGAACUAUAGGAUUUUGCAUCUAGGCUUUCAAAAUACGGUAAAUUAUCUACAAAUUCACGUUUGUUCCAUAAAAAAAAAUCUUCAACGUGCGUUAUGAAGAUGGAGUAACUCUAUUUGCAAGCUACUGUUUCUUAUUGAUAAUCGCCACAAGGUUUUAAAUUUCAUGGAUGUUUUAGACCAUGAUGGAUAUUCGUUGGAGUCUGAAGUGCUCUCGACCUGAGGCUGUUUAGAGUGAAAGCCAAAAUUCACUGGAUUUUUUUGAAUGCUACACAAUUACAACUUGGAACAUUUAGAAAGAGAGAAAUAAUUUUAUUUUCAACUAGGCUAGGCCUUCAAAUAGAACAUGGUUAGAAAGGGCAAAGGAUGGCCUAACUUGGCUUAUAUAUAGGGUCUCAUCAUAUCUAAGUGAUUAUAUCGCAUAUUUUGUUCUCUUUCUUUAAAACUUUAGUGCUAUAUUUAUUGAAUUUUUUGCUCUAGUAUCCAACUCUUUCUAGUGGAAUUUUCUCCCUCCAUCUUAUGAGCAUAUAACUAGUAUUUUUAAUAUACUAAAUAGGAGCGCCUCCUACUAUUUAGAUAUUAGUUUUGUUAAAUGUUUGUUACGUAUUUGCAAAAUAUUGAUCGUGUAUUAAAAAAUUCCAUGUAUUUGAAUUUUUUUCAUCCCAUGAUUAAAAAAUAUUCACCACAUAUUUCAAAAAAUGCAUCAUGUAUUUAAAGAAUGCACAUAUUAAAAAUGUUCAUUCAUGUAUUUGAAAAAUAUCAAUCGCAUAUCUAAAUAAAAUACUCAUCUCGUAUUUGAAAAACGAUUCAUCACAUAUUUACAGAGUGUACAAGUAUAAAAGAUGAUAAUCGUAGAAAGAAGGAAUUUGAAAAGGGAGAAAGAAAAGAAAAGGGUAAUUGAAAACCAGCAAAAAACCAAAAGAAAAUGGGAAAGAAACAGAAAACCGCUGAAAACAACGAAAAGCCCGAGCAAAAUCAGAAAACAAGCUAAAUUAUGCUCCGCUCACCCUUUUUGAACCUUGCACACCCCCNNNNNNNNNNNNNNNNNNNNNNNNNNNNNNNNNNNNNNNNNNNNNNNNNNNNNNNNNNNNNNNNNNNNNNNNNNNNNNNNNNNNNNNNNNNNNNNNNNNNNNNNNNNNNNNNNNNNNNNNNNNNNNNNNNNNNNNNNNNNNNNNNNNNNNNNNNNNNNNNNNNNNNNNNNNNNNNNNNNNNNNNNNNNNNNNNNNNNNNNNNNNNNNNNNNNNNNNNNNNNNNNNNNNNNNNNNNNNNNNNNNNNNNNNNNNNNNNNNNNNNNNNNNNNNNNNNNNNNNNNNNNNNNNNNNNNNNNNNNNNNNNNNNNNNNNNNNNNNNNNNNNNNNNNNNNNNNNNNCCUACACAUCUUAGUGAUUUAUGAAAUAAAACUCUUUUUUGGGUAAGCCAACGAGUGCUUACCAUUUAUUGUUUACCAAAAAAAUCCUUUUGAGCAGGUAAAUCAUGGACUAACCUACCAGUGUCUCGUACCUAAGAAUUAGGUAAUUUUAUGUCAGUCUCCUUGUCCUUCGUCCAAUGUAUGUAUGUUCCCCUUCCCUCUCCUAUUUUUUUUACCUUUUGCCCCCAUCUCUCCUUUUCACUACUUUUUUUCUUCCUAAAAACCACCUCAACUGUCCCACCUCUUAUUGACUUUCCAAAUAAAAUUUUGUUUUCUUUGAUAAGCGAAUAAGUCCUUAUCAAAUUAGUGUCUACCAAAUAAAAUCAUUUUUUACACAACAACAUUAACAUGAACAAGUAAAUCAGGCCUAAUAUACUAAGAUUUGUUCGUGCCCCUUGCAACGUAUGGGAAAUGAUCUAAUCAUUAUUAAACAUUUUAACAGCUAGAUGGGCCUCAUUGGUCGUUAUGUGCUGGUAUAUAAGGUUAUUAAGGAGAAAACACAUGUGGGAACGUGCGUGCAUAGGGUUUCCACUGGCAGUUCUCUAGCCAUUUUUUUAUGCUACAUGGAUAGAUGUACAUACACAACGAGGGAAGGAUAACAUGCAAAAAAAGGAGGUUAGACGGAAGGUCGGACUAAGGAGGAGAGCGAAACGAGGAAUGAGGAAUAUUGCGUUGUCUUCAAGUAGGAGAGAUACGUAUGGGAAAAAAGGAAGUGGGAGGGAGGGCCAAACGAAGGAGAAGAGCGAAACGGGAAAUGAAAAGAACUAUGUUCUUUUUAAAUAUGAGAGGUAGAAGAGGUGCAUGGGCUGGACAAUCCCAUUUACGGGAACAUGGGUAGACUGUUUUUGGUGGGUGCAGUAACAACACCUUUUGUUUGAGGCAUGCAAUAACAACAUCUGGUCUACCAAUUCUCAGGGCACAUCGAUUUUGGGUCUUUUUGUCUAGGAAAACUACAAAACAUGGCUCGCCAGCGCAUGCAGCAGGGGCCAUAUCUAUUGAUACAUACGACAUGCUUGGCGCAAACACAAUAUGAUGAAUAGGCCGACCUAUUUUCCAACGCUAGAAAAAGGCCGACUCAUGACAGUGCAUGCCAUCGCCACCUGGAACGGAAAACCCUAUUUGCCGCUCUUGAUGGCAAGUAGUAGUCGGCCGAAUGCAUAGAGGCGACAGAGUGGGCCGCCCAACUUGUCAUACGUGCGAGGGCAUCCAUUUUUUGUUUUGAUUCAUCUUCUUUUUUUUGUUCCUUUUUCAUUUUUAUUUUUUGGUUUCCAUAAAUUCAAAAGUUUCAAAAAUAUUUCAGAAUUUGACCAAAAAAAUAAAAAUUGAAAAAAUUAUUUCAUAUUUCAAAUUGUUGUUCAUAUUUUUCAAAAAAUGUUCGAAAGUUUAUUUGUUCUACGAUUUUCAAUAAAUGUACGAAAAUUCAAGAAUAUAUGGAAUUUAAAAAAAAUCCUGUUUUCCAAUUUGGAUCCCAUUGUCAAGAAAUGUUCAUGUUCGAGUUUAUAAAAAUUGUUCAUCGUUUUCAAAAAUAUGUUCGUGUUUUGGAAAAAAUAAGGUUCAGAAUUUUUGAAAAGUAUUCACACUUAUAUAAAAAACAAAACAAAAUCAAUUCUCGACGGGCUAGCAACAUGUUACUAGAGUGCGAGGUCGCAAGGAACCUCCUUUUCUUGGUAUUUUCGCGUCACGUGUUAAAAAACUCGCUUUGCGUUGUACCCUGUGGGUCAGCCUAGUCACCUGGACCCUGUGGUCGUCCCGCUCCUAUAUGACGCAUGCAAAAUGCAUCAUACUGGAUGUCCCGCCUGGUACAAGGGAUCAAAAGUGAAGACAAACAUGACAUUUUUCAUUUAAUAAGAAGAGAACGCGCGACCCUAUAGAAGACCAAAUGAGCAAAUGAAACUAGAUUUUUUGUUGUCCAUGGCAUGAGGCACAGGCCCAAAUGGUCCAUGGGGGCGCCUCCAAACCCCACACGACCCCACUACGCCUUUUCCAUGUUCUUUUCUCCUCCAUCAUCAAUUUACACAAAGACUUAUCGAUCGUGCGUCCUACAUUACCACUAGCAAAUCUACCUCGACCUUUUCUCUUAAGCCCUACCAUAACUAAACCCUAA
Molecule: long non-coding RNA, 22390 nt
Filed under: Triticum aestivum (bread wheat)
Lineage: Eukaryota; Viridiplantae; Streptophyta; Magnoliopsida; Poales; Poaceae
Description: long non-coding RNA (TAES_LNC025763)
Source: RNAcentral